AUGCUCACUUCAGUUGCACACCUGCUGAAACUGGAAUAAGACAGAUAAGACUAGCAGGCUCCUGUCCAAAGAUGACAUGUAGAUCUGUGACACAUUUUUAUUUUUU
Small nuclear RNA from Saimiri boliviensis boliviensis (Bolivian squirrel monkey), 106 nucleotides. The record is from Ensembl. Lineage: Eukaryota; Metazoa; Chordata; Mammalia; Primates; Cebidae.